RNAcentral lists this ribosomal RNA (260 nucleotides) under uncultured bacterium. RNAcentral's name for it is "partial 16S ribosomal RNA". It matches the Rfam family "Bacterial small subunit ribosomal RNA", at positions 524 to 776 of the family's 1533-position model. The record is from RNAcentral.
UACGUAGGGUGCAAGCGUUUGUGCCGGAAUUAUUGGGCGUAAAGAGCUCGUAGGCGGAUCUGUCACGCGGCUGUGAAAACCCGAGCUCAACCUCGGGGCCUGCAGUCGAGUACGGGCAAAACUAGAGUACUGCAGGGGAGGACUGGAAUUCCUGGUGAUAGCGGUGGAAUGCGCAGAUAUCAGGAGGAACACCGAUGGCGAAGGCCAGAUCUCUGGGCCGUAACUGACGCUGAGGAGCGAAAGCGUGGGGAGCGAACAGG